CCUACGGGGGGCUGCAGUGGGGAAUAUUGGACAAUGGGGGCAACCCUGAUCCAGCCAUGCCGCGUGUGUGAAGAAGGCCCUCGGGUUGUAAAGCACUUUCAGUGAGGAAGAACGCCUGGUGGUUAAUACCCAUCAGGAAAGACAUCACUCACAGAAGAAGCACUGGCUAACUCCGUGCCAGCAGCCGCGGUAAUACGGAGGGUGCGAGCGUUAAUCGGAAUUACUGGGCGUAAAGCGCGCGUAGGUGGCUUGAUAAGCCGGUUGUGAAAGCCCCGGGCUCAACCUGGGAACGGCAUCCGGAACUGUCAAGCUAGAGUGCAGGAGAGGAAGGUAGAAUUCCCGGUGUAGCGGUGAAAUGCGUAGAGAUCGGGAGGAAUACCAGUGGCGAAGGCGGCCUUCUGGACUGACACUGACACUGAGGUGCGAAAGCGUGGGUAGCAAACAGGAUUAGAUACCCGAGUAGUC
RNAcentral lists this ribosomal RNA (465 nucleotides) under Vreelandella stevensii. RNAcentral describes it as "partial 16S ribosomal RNA". It matches the Rfam family "Bacterial small subunit ribosomal RNA", at positions 338 to 795 of the family's 1533-position model. Lineage: Bacteria; Pseudomonadati; Pseudomonadota; Gammaproteobacteria; Oceanospirillales; Halomonadaceae. The record is from RNAcentral.